This 1184-nucleotide ribosomal RNA is filed under the name human metagenome. RNAcentral's name for it is "bacterial LSU rRNA". It matches the Rfam family "Bacterial large subunit ribosomal RNA", at positions 811 to 2001 of the family's 2925-position model. The record is from RNAcentral.
AGGUUUAGGGGUGAAAAGCCAAUCGAACUAGGAGAUAGCUCGUUCUCUCCGAAAUGCAUCUAGGUGCAGCCUUGAGUGUUCAAUUAUGGGGGUAGAGCACUGAAUGAUCUAGGGGGCAUAUUGCUUACUGAAAUCAAUCAAACUCCGAAUACCAUAAUUUAUAGCUCAGGAGUGAGACUAUGGGAGUUAACUUCCAUUGUCAAAAGGGAAACAACCCAGACCACCAGCUAAGGUCCCUAAUUAUAACUAAGUGGGAAAGGAGGUGGAGAUUCACAAACAACUAGGAGGUUGGCUUAGAAGCAGCCAUACCUUUAAAGAGUGCGUAAUAGCUCACUAGUCGAGAGUCUCUGCGCCGACAAUGUAACGGGGCUAAGUUAUAAACCGAAGCUGUGGAAUCCGUAAGGAUUGGUAGGAGAGCGUUCUGUAGGCCGUUGAAGAAGAAGGGUAACCGACUUUGGAGGUAUCAGAAGUGAGAAUGCAGGAAUAAGUAGCGAGAAAGGGGGCGAGAAUCCCCCUCGCCGGAAGACCAAGGUUUUCAGGGUAAAGCUUGUCUUCCCUGAGUAAGCCGGGACCUAAGCCCAGGCUAUAAUGCGUAGGCGAAUGGAAAACAGAUUAAUAUUUCUGUGCCAGUCAUUUAUUGUGAUGGAGGGACGCAGAAGGGUAUGCGCGCGGACGAUCGGUUGUGUCCGUAGAAGUAUGUAGGAUGACUUAGUAGGUAAAUCCAUUAAGUUAUAUCUGAGGUAUGAUAUACAGUCGUAAGAUGAAUGCGCAAAUCCCACGCUGCCAAGAAAAGCUUCUAACGUUAAUAUAUGACUGCCCGUACUGUAAACCGACACAGGUGGUCAGGAUGAGAAAUCUAAGGCGGACAGGCUAACUCUCGUUAAGGAACUCUGCAAAAUAACCUCGUAACUUCGGGAGAAGAGGAGCCCUUGGGUGUUAGUAUCCAUGCGAUACAAAGCGCUCGAGGGUCGCAGUGAAGAGGCUCAAGCAACUGUUUAACAAAAACACAGGUCUAUGCUAAGCUGGAAGGCGAUGUAUAUGGGCUGACACCUGCCCAGUGCUGGAAGGUUAAGAGGAGGAGUGAGAGCUCCGAAUUGAAGCCCCAGUGAACGGCGGCCGUAACUAUAACGGUCCUAAGGUAGCGAAAUUCCUUGUCGGGUAAGUUCCGACCUGCACGAAUGGUG